GCGCUCACUCCGGCAGCAUCAAUAUUAAAAUAGGAACCAUACAGAGACGAUUAGCAAAAAUAAUAAUAAUAAAUAAAUAAAUAAAUAAAGAGAUGAUUAGCAUGGCCCCUGUACAAGGAUGACAUGCAAAUUUGUGAAGCAGCCCAUAUUUUC
RNAcentral lists this small nuclear RNA (153 nucleotides) under Erinaceus europaeus (western European hedgehog). Lineage: Eukaryota; Metazoa; Chordata; Mammalia; Eulipotyphla; Erinaceidae. The record is from RNAcentral.